AUAAGUUUUUAUGCCUGUAGUGUUUACAACUGGUGUUUUAUGUGAAUGUUUACAGUUACAAUCCGGAUUGAAGUUUUAUGUUUCUUAGAAUUGUCGAUUGUCUUCUUCUGAAUUACAAAAUCAGACUAUGACAGAUAUAAAGAAGCUGAAUUUAUUAGAUGGAAAAUGAACAACAAAUUGAAUUAACAGAGUUUACAGAUGUUCAGGUCCAGGAUGAAGACGAUUUUGCAACCGAAAAACACGGACCAACUUCCAAAAAAAUGAAAUAUGUCUGGAGGACCUUGGAAAUCGUCAUAAUUACAUCGGUAGUCUUACUAAUUAGUUUCAUAAUAAGAAAAGCCAUUGGAAGUAAAUAUUUGCAUCCGGAAUAAUGCAGUCGUAUAAUUAAUAUAAUUUAAAAUGUAGUGUAAGAAGAGCGUUUUAAGCUCCGUGCCGGAAUACACAUAUACACAGAGGGAUGCGACAAUUGCCAAACAUGAACAAGAAAAUAGCUUGAAAUCCGUAUUAUUUAUAUUCAUUUGUUAUUCAUUUACUUGAAAUCGUUGUUGAUAAAUGUAUUUUUAUUGCCUAAAAGUUUGUUUUUAAAAUAAAAUUUUAA
Molecule: long non-coding RNA, 598 nt
Organism: Mytilus californianus (California mussel)
Lineage: Eukaryota; Metazoa; Mollusca; Bivalvia; Mytilida; Mytilidae
Exons: 3
Source: RefSeq, a predicted model, not a curated record